Molecule: long non-coding RNA, 200 nt
Filed under: Lathyrus oleraceus (garden pea)
Lineage: Eukaryota; Viridiplantae; Streptophyta; Magnoliopsida; Fabales; Fabaceae
Description: Pisum sativum (pea) long non-coding RNA (PSAT_LNC013520)
Source: RNAcentral
ACACCCAAAGUGUCCUAGGUACUCCUAGGGAGCCCUUUUUUGUGUGCAUAUGUGUUUUUGUACAAAAUGAUGUUUGCAAAUAAAUAGAAUGGGGGAUGAGAAAAGAAUUCAUUAAUUAUAUUUUUGUAUUUGACAAGAUCUUCAGACUUGUGCCUACGUGCCAACAUAAAAAUGAGGGAUCAAAAUCUCAUAGUUCGUGG